Molecule: transfer RNA, 68 nt
Filed under: Marmota monax (woodchuck)
Lineage: Eukaryota; Metazoa; Chordata; Mammalia; Rodentia; Sciuridae
Description: tRNA.Ala
Source: RNAcentral
GGCAUGUAGCUCAGUGGUAGAGUGCUUGCCUAGCAUAUGCAAGGCCUUGGGUUCAACCCCUAGCACCA